Molecule: ribosomal RNA, 411 nt
Filed under: Salmonella enterica subsp. enterica serovar Newport
Lineage: Bacteria; Pseudomonadati; Pseudomonadota; Gammaproteobacteria; Enterobacterales; Enterobacteriaceae
Description: bacterial LSU rRNA
Rfam family: Bacterial large subunit ribosomal RNA
Source: RNAcentral
CAGCCAUCAUUUAAAGAAAGCGUAAUAGCUCACUGGUCGAGUCGGCCUGCGCGGAAGAUGUAACGGGGCUAAACCAUGCACCGAAGCUGCGGCAGCGACACUGUGUGUUGUUGGGUAGGGGAGCGUUCUGUAAGCCUGUGAAGGUGGCCUGUGAGGGUUGCUGGAGGUAUCAGAAGUGCGAAUGCUGACAUAAGUAACGAUAAAGCGGGUGAAAAGCCCGCUCGCCGGAAGACCAAGGGUUCCUGUCCAACGUUAAUCGGGGCAGGGUGAGUCGACCCCUAAGGCGAGGCCGAAAGGCGUAGUCGAUGGGAAACAGGUUAAUAUUCCUGUACUUGGUGUUACUGCGAAGGGGGGACGGAGAAGGCUAUGUUGGCCGGGCGACGGUUGUCCCGGUUUAAGCGUGUAGGUGUG